UAAAAGGGUCGAUUGGCUAGUUAUGCCACACUUAGCUUCAUUUGGUAGGUGUCCUGUGGCAAUCAAGACAUAUGGCCAACAUAAUUUGUGGAACUUUAAAACUUAUAUUUCUAAUUUAAUUUUUU
This is a small nuclear RNA of Hevea brasiliensis (rubber tree), 125 nucleotides long. RefSeq annotates it as U11 spliceosomal RNA. The transcript has a single exon. The record is from RefSeq and is a predicted model, not a curated record. NCBI's taxonomy places the organism in Eukaryota, Viridiplantae, Streptophyta, Magnoliopsida, Malpighiales, Euphorbiaceae.